This 460-nucleotide ribosomal RNA is filed under the name uncultured bacterium. RNAcentral describes it as "partial 16S ribosomal RNA". It matches the Rfam family "Bacterial small subunit ribosomal RNA", at positions 338 to 795 of the family's 1533-position model. The record is from RNAcentral.
CCUACGGGAGGCCGCAGUGAGGAAUAUUGGUCAAUGGACGAGAGUCUGAACCAGCCAAGUAGCGUGAAGGAUGACUGCCCUAUGGGUUGUAAACUUCUUUUAUAUGGGAAUAAAAUGUUCCACGUGUGGGAUUUUGUAUGUACCAUAUGAAUAAGGCUCGGCUAACUCCGUGCCAGCAGCCGCGGUAAUACGGAGGAUCCGAGCGUUAUCCGGAUUUAUUGGGUUUAAAGGGAGCGUAGGUGGAUUGUUAAGUCAGUUGUGAAAGUUUGCGGCUCAACCGUAAAAUUGCAGUUGAAACUGGCAGUCGUGAGUACAGUAGAGGUGGGCGGAAUUCGUGGUGUAGCGGUGAAAUGCUUAGAUAUCACGAAGAACUCCGAUUGCGAAGGCAGCUCACUGGACUGCAACUGACACUGAGGCUCGAAAGUGUGGGUAUCAAACAGGAUUAGAUACCCUUGUAGUC